UAAAAUGUGUUGUUCAAUAAUACGAAUUUUUCGGUACUACGAAAGGGCCUGACAUUAUAUAAUUCGUACUAGUGGACGUCCACUGUAUUUUGAUUUAACAUUACUUAACCAUCGUCUUAAACAUUUUAAUUUUGGUGUUUUUGAAAAAAAAAAAUAUCCGCAUAACGAAGUCUUGCCAAAUGAAUUGAAGUCCAAUAAGUAUAAAAUGUCUGGGCGGCAAAUGAUGUGUUUUACAUAUUUAUUACCUUUAAUUAUUGGAGAUUUAAUUCCCUCUGAUGAUAUUGUAUGCCAAUUUGUUCUUAAUUUUAUCUAUAUAGUGGAUGAUUUGUUAUAUUUCAAAUAUAAUGCCCAAUUCGCUUCUAAUCUAAGAAAGCAAAUUGAGGAUCAUAACCGUCAAUAUAUGAUUGUUUUCGAUAAACCUCUUAAAUCAAAAUACCAUUUUUUCAUUCAUUACCCAAGUAUUAUAGCAAAUCCGUACCCCUAAGGUUAUUUUGGAAUUUUCAAUAUGAAGCAAAACAUAAACAAUUUAAGUUAUAUUCCCAUUCAAUUACAUCUUGAAAAAAUAUACCACUAAAACUUGCCAAAAAAUAUCAAUUGAAAUCUGCUACUUUUUUACUAAGUCCACCUCAAAUAUAUACUAAUUACAAGAACACUUCAAACAAUCUAAAAUUACAGCAAGUUAUAUAUAAUAUAUUAGGAAACAAAAAUGUUAAAUUAUAUUUCGAUGUGGAACAUCAUGGAUAUUAUUAUAAACAAAAUUUAUAUAUAUCAACAUAUUUAAAUUAUGUAUUAAUUUUUAGAAUUAUUGUUGCAAUACAAUUGGAUAAUCAAUCCGUACUAUUCUACUGCGAAAAGGUUAAAUCUUAUCAAUACAAUCCCCAUUACUUAUCUUAUGAAAUCGUCUCUGAAAAAUCGAAUGAAUAUCACAUAAUUAAUAUCAGCGAUUUAUUGGGACCAGCGGUAUUGAUGAUAAAUACAGCUUUUGGAAAAUCAUUUAUACGUUUAAAAGAGUAUUACAAAUUGAUAUAAAUUUAAAUAAAGUAAAAAAUGGAAAACGAGCAUCAACAAAACGAAGAAGAACAACAGUUAUAUUUUUUACUAUCAUCAUGGAACUUACUUCAACUUUUUGAUAAACUAAAAGAACAACAAUGUUAUGUAUCCGUACUAAAAGUUAUAAAAACUCAUCAAAUAGAGAAAGUAGUCGCAAAUGUUCCCGUUGGCUUAGCAAUAUUAUUUGAACAUUGUUCGGAAACCUGGAGAUCUGAAAUAAAAUUACCUAUUAAGUGUUCUACGCCCGAUAAUAUAAGCUUUAGUUCGGAGUAUUCAAAUUGUUCCAAAGAAAAGCAUGAAUUUAAUGAAGAUUUUCAAUUUAUACUAAUGAAAUCCAAAAACGGCCAAAGUUUAAAGAAGCCUAAAGAAAGCUUUUAAUAAAUACAAUAGCAAAACAUUUCAUUGAUUCAGAUCUGCCAUUUUCUUUAGGAGAAAGCGAAAAACUCGAAUUUUAUAGAACUUGCAAAAGAGGUCGGAUUUAUUUUUUUCUGAAUCCACUACACCAUCCUCAUCGUAUAGUAAUGAGGAGUCCCAUUUUGUGCCUGAAGAAGUUUAUGAAACAAUAAGAAACUUUUUAAACGAUGACAAACUUAAUGAAGAUGAAUAUAUCGAUUACUAAAAAGGAUGUAGUCAGUAUAGAUUUUCACAAAUAGAAAAAUGUAAAUCUGCAGCAAGUAUUUUUAAAAUUUGGCCAGAAUACACUAAUGCCAAUGGGAUUCGUAUGUAUCCAAACUGUGAAAAUAUUCACGAAAACUGGGCUUUAAAAUCUAAUAAAAUGGAGACUUUAUUGAAGAAGAUUUCCGGAAAGUAUGAAAGCAUUAAUAAAAUUAUAUUAAUUAUAUGUAUGUAUGAAAAACAAAUAUUUAUGUAAAAAUUUUCAUAAAUAUUAUG
Molecule: long non-coding RNA, 1941 nt
Organism: Lucilia cuprina (Australian sheep blowfly)
Lineage: Eukaryota; Metazoa; Arthropoda; Insecta; Diptera; Calliphoridae
Exons: 5
Source: RefSeq, a predicted model, not a curated record